GGAGUAACAAAAUUGAGAUUGGAGUGUUUUUUAAUCAUUUCUUCUCGAAUAUCCAGCCGACAAGACAAGACAAUUAGGGAGAAAGCCAAGAGCAGAACAAGAAACUAAUUAAUGUGGGUUUGAUUUCAUUGUAUAGGCCCUAUACAAUGGCACCAUGUCAUACUUCCAAGAUGACUAUGCGAUUUUUUCAAGAAAAGAAAGUAAACCUUUUAGGAUAAUCCAGAAGAUCGCCUCGCUUGUUACACGUGUGGGAUUAUAACUUUGAUUAUGUUCCUACGGACAGAGUCCAAGUUCCAUCUUCAACAAACAAUCAUUCGUUUCAUAAUCCCUAAACAUAUUAUAUACAUACGUGAAUUUUAACACUAUUUUAUAUCUUGAGAAUAUUUUUGAUUCCUCAUCCUUUGCCAUCUGAUUUUCCCAAAAACUGUUUUCGAUUUCUAUGGUAAUCAUCUAUUUUUCAUAAUAAACUUCAAGCUAAAUGGAAACAUUUCUAGAACUGCAAAAAAUCAUUUAUUAAAAUUUCAUGUCUUCUAAAACUAAUUUCGCCGGUUAAUUCUAAGCACUCCUCCCACGAAUAAUAAUUUUUUCUCAUUCUUUGUUGAAAUAAAAAUAUCAUUUUGAUUAAAAAAUACUUUUUAAUUGCAACCUU
Long non-coding RNA from Octopus sinensis (East Asian common octopus), 649 nucleotides. RefSeq lists it as uncharacterized. The record is from RefSeq and is a predicted model, not a curated record. NCBI's taxonomy places the organism in Eukaryota, Metazoa, Mollusca, Cephalopoda, Octopoda, Octopodidae. The transcript is spliced from 3 exons.